UAUAUUUAAGUGUAUGAUGCACGAAGAUUUUUGAUAUCUUAAGGAAUAGUUUGAAUCUAUUAAAUGUAA
RNAcentral lists this transfer RNA (69 nucleotides) under Conocephalus emeiensis. RNAcentral describes it as "tRNA-Gln". Lineage: Eukaryota; Metazoa; Arthropoda; Insecta; Orthoptera; Tettigoniidae. The record is from RNAcentral.